UACGUAGGGUGCGAGCGUUGUCCGGAAUUAUUGGGCGUAAAGGGCUCGUAGGCGGUUUGUCGCGUCGGGAGUGAAAUCCACUGGCUUAACUGGUGGCUUGCUUUCGAUACGGGCAGACUGGAGGUAUGCAGGGGAGAACGGAAUUCCUGGUGUAGCGGUGAAAUGCGCAGAUAUCAGGAGGAACACCGGUGGCGAAGGCGGUUCUCUGGGCAGUGUCCUGACGCUGGAGGACGAAAGUGUGGGAGCGAAGCAGG
This 254-nucleotide ribosomal RNA is filed under the name uncultured bacterium. RNAcentral's name for it is "partial 16S ribosomal RNA". It matches the Rfam family "Bacterial small subunit ribosomal RNA", at positions 524 to 776 of the family's 1533-position model. The record is from RNAcentral.